Molecule: long non-coding RNA, 416 nt
Organism: Aptenodytes forsteri (emperor penguin)
Lineage: Eukaryota; Metazoa; Chordata; Aves; Sphenisciformes; Spheniscidae
Exons: 2
Source: RefSeq, a predicted model, not a curated record
AGGAGAUGAUGGGUGCCAAGAUAGCUUGGGCAGGACCUGGAGGAGAUGACGGGUGCCAAGAUGUGUCCAGCAGGGUCAAGCAGAGAUGAUGGGUGCCAAGAUGAGUUUGGCAGGACCGGGAGGAGAUGAUGGGCACCAAGAUGGGUCCAGGAGAAACAGGAGAUGAUGGCUGCCAUGAUGGUUCCAGGAGAACCAGGAGGACACGACGGGUGCCAAGAUGGGUCCAGCAGGGCCAAGCGGAGAUGACAGGAUGCCAAAACGGGUUGGGCAGGACCAGGAGAAGAUGACGGGCACCAAAACGGGCCCAGCAGGGCCAAGCAGAGGUGACGGGCACCAAGAUGGGUUGGGCAGGACCAGGAGGAGAUGACGGGCACCAAAACAGGUCCAGGAGAAGCAGGGGGAGAUAAUGAGAGCCA